UUUUUUUUUUUUUUUUUUUUUUCUCCUAGUGGAAAAUAAUAGUAAAUAUGCUGAAUUUUAAAAGUAUUUAAGAGUCAGUUUCAAGGACCGUUUUAAGGGUCUGUUUAAAAAGUGUGUGUUCAUUCUUCAUGCAAGCUAUUAGUGAAAACGAAUGAUUCUCUCUCUCACCUUCUCUCCUUUACAGCAGGCCGUUAAUGCUUUGAGGCUUUUAGGUAGCCGUGAUCCAGUUCUGUAAAGCUUUGGAUAAGGAAUGGCUUUAACUUCCCAUCUCUAAUCUCUCCUUUCCCAUGUCUUAAUUUUGAGCUUUCAUUACUCUGAUAAUAAGCAGACAUUUCUGAAAAUGGAAAAGCCUUCAGUUCCCCUUUUGUGUCUCUUCCUGACACUGUCUUUCUUCCCUGAGAGCAGUAAAUAGGUCAGAAAUUUUGGGGAGCAGUAAAUAGGUCAGAAAGUCAACCUCUGUUCCUGACUUCAGUGCUCUGACCCAAGUAUGUGGCCUUUCCCAUUAGCGGGUAGGCAGAUUUAUGGAGCCCCACAGCCAGGAAAGCCAGUGGAUUUGACUUGAGAAACUGGGAAGAAUCUAGCCUUCCCAGAUUGGAAUGUCAGUUAUAAAAAUCCAAGCUAGCGCAGACCAUUGUCCUAAGACAAGCCUGGACAUAGUUCUCGAGAGGUAUGUUUAUAGGCAUUUUGAGGUCUGAAUAGCAAGGCUAGAUCAGAUUUAAUAUCUGAGUUACCUAAUACUAGAAAGAAUUUAGUCCAUCAGGAGACUCAGGCAGGACUUGUUGUUUCAUCAAGAAUGGAACAGUUGAUUUUGGUUUCUUCAACAAGGGUUUCCUACUUCUUAUAUUAGUCACCUCAAAGGAUUUUUUUUUAUUGUUUUUUAAUUGUUUUCAUUGUUGUUAUUAUUUUGGCUUUAUUGCCGAAGUAAGUAGACUAAAGUACAUUUUUGUCUUAAAAAGUGUUGUCUAUUUAAUCCCUGUUUUCUGGACAGCAGUGGUCUGUUAAAGCUUUAUCCAGUAAGAGAGUUUAGGCAGACAAGAUGUUUGGGAGUUUGAGGUUCCGUACCCUGCAGGGAAACUUUGUGGAAAAGAAGAGAGAUGCUACCUCCUUAGCUACAGACUCUUUCAUUUCAGUGUCCCAUUUCCUCUCUGGGACAAGGGGAGAGUUCUUGGCACAAAAGAUACUAACAACCGACUUUCUGGGAAUCUGUGUAAAUGACAACUUGUAUGGCUUUCAACUUCCCUAAGCUAGCAUAAUGGGUAGAUUAAUAUGUUCCUUCUUGGCAGGAAUGGAAACUAAUUUUUUAAAAGAAGGAGGAAAAAACAUGUUGUGCUAAAUCAGUGAUUGCCAUGGCAACAGGUACUCUAUACAUGUUAGAGAAAGAGGAAAAAUGCAAUCAGUUCUCUGGAGAGGAAGAGAGCAGAAAUCAGUUCACAAACUUUUUUUUCGUGAAUGAACAAAUACAUAUUGGACAGUCUUCAUGUGUUCUGGAUAAUCUUAUCAAAGAAUAUAGCAGAAAGUUGAUGAUAAAAUUAAAUCUGUCAUCUGCUUUGUUACAAUGAUCUCUUUUGAUCUGAGCCGCAUCUGCAACCUACACCACAGCUCACGGCAACGCCAGAUCAUUAACCCACUGAGCAAGGGCAGGGACUGAACCUGCAACCUCAUGGUUCCUAGUCGGAUUCAUUAACCAUGCGCCACGAUGGGAACUCCCCAUAGUAUUUCUUACUUGCAUAGGGAGAUUAUAUUUUGCCUACAUUUAUUGGUAAAUGAGCUCAAACACUUCUGUGUCCUAAAUUUGCCAAAACAUUGCCUUUCUUGGAAAUCCGUAGUUAUGGAGGAGGUUUCUAGCUGUUUUGUUCUCUGUUUAGUAAUGCCCAGUUGCAAGGUAGAUAAGAUAAUCUCUUGAGAUUUCUUCUUAUCUGAAGUCCUAUGAAAAAAACAUCAUUUGGUAUAUAGAUUUUUUUAAGAGAAGGCAGCCAGCAUUUUGCUCUCUCCACUUGAGGAUUGAAUGAGAAGAAAUGACAUUGAACUUGAUCCUAGAUAACUUAGUUUAGCUCUGUGUAAGAACAUCCCAGUGAUAAAGUACAUUUAGUCACUAGAAUGAUAUUGGUGGUGAUGGAGGCUGGUGACCUAAGGCUGAGGGCUCUGCCUGGGAAAAAAGUGGACUCCGGGAUCUCUGUCACUGUUGUGAUGGGAUCAGCCUUUUUGUCUACAUGACUGCAGUGUAUCAGCUGAAAAAUGAGGGCAUUUGAUUUGGCUGUCUGCUAUGUUUCCUAGAAGGUUCAGUAAUUCUGGGAUCUGAGACUAAGAGUUCUACAGUGUGGAGGCUGAAUGAUUGAUAAGGGCUCUUCUGAUCCCAGAAGACUUUGCAGUAAGGGCUCU
This 2379-nucleotide long non-coding RNA is filed under the name Sus scrofa (pig). Its description in RNAcentral is "lncRNA (ENSSSCG00055019025.1)". The record is from RNAcentral. Lineage: Eukaryota; Metazoa; Chordata; Mammalia; Artiodactyla; Suidae.